UAUUUUCCUAUUAAUAUAAUCUAGUUAAUAUAUGACAAAUUAUGGUAAUUUAACAAAAUAACACCCAUUUGACAUAAUCAAAACAGAGUGUGGAGAGAAAAGUAGACCUCUGUUAUCUUAGAGAAUAUGGCUGUGCUACAGGACAGAAACAGAACCUUCGACCGGAAAAUGAAAUCGGCAAACAUGAACUCAACCCGAACCUCGAACGGACCUCCUUGCACAACGACCUCCGGCGACCUAAUAUGCGAUUGGAACUGGAAAUGGAAUGAACAAAACUCCAACAGUUGAUUUCAAUCAAGGUCAGCAAUUUCGAGAAGAAGAACAAAGCAGUUUUUCUUGUGAGUGAGGUUGACUAAAAAAAAGAACUGUUGCGUGCAAGUAGGGGUCGCCGGUUAUCGUUUGGUUGCUGCUGUGAUUUCGAGCGAGAUUAGGGACUAUUUUGAGGAUGGAAUCACGCAGAUUUUUAGUUGUUGUUUCGGGCGUUUUGGAUAUGGAAUUUUCGUAUGUACAUGAUAAAUUUUUGGUAGUUCAAAUAGUGGGUUAUGUGGGCUAAUUCCCAGUGGUAGAAGGUGGUCGUUUCAGCUGUCUCCGGUGAGCUGUGUGUUUGGUCGGCAGCGGGUAUAAUGGAGACUAGGGUUCUUGAUGUAACCUUCAUAGAUAAGAAGAAGAUGCAGCCAUGGUUU
RNAcentral lists this long non-coding RNA (683 nucleotides) under Nicotiana benthamiana. RNAcentral describes it as "long non-coding RNA (NBEN_LNC005344)". Lineage: Eukaryota; Viridiplantae; Streptophyta; Magnoliopsida; Solanales; Solanaceae. The record is from RNAcentral.